UUAUGUUAAGAUGGCCCAAAUGAAAGAAAGCCGGAAUAGCUCAGUUGGUAGAGCAGAGGACUGAAAAUCCUCGUGUCACCAGUUCAAAUA
RNAcentral lists this transfer RNA (90 nucleotides) under Dicranum scoparium. Its description in RNAcentral is "partial tRNA-Phe". The stretch from base 30 to 90 matches the Rfam family "tRNA", at positions 1 to 59 of the family's 71-position model. Rfam says of the family: Transfer RNA (tRNA) molecules are approximately 80 nucleotides in length. Their secondary structure includes four short double-helical elements and three loops (D, anti-codon, and T loops). Further hydrogen bonds mediate the characteristic L-shaped molecular structure. tRNAs have two regions of fundamental functional importance: the anti-codon, which is responsible for specific mRNA codon recognition, and the 3' end, to which the tRNAs corresponding amino acid is attached (by aminoacyl-tRNA synthetases). tRNAs cope with the degeneracy of the genetic code in two manners: having more than one tRNA (with a specific anti-codon) for a particular amino acid; and 'wobble' base-pairing, i.e. permitting non-standard base-pairing at the 3rd anti-codon position. Lineage: Eukaryota; Viridiplantae; Streptophyta; Bryopsida; Dicranales; Dicranaceae. The record is from RNAcentral.